This 253-nucleotide ribosomal RNA is filed under the name uncultured bacterium. RNAcentral's name for it is "partial 16S ribosomal RNA". It matches the Rfam family "Bacterial small subunit ribosomal RNA", at positions 524 to 776 of the family's 1533-position model. The record is from RNAcentral.
UACGGAGGGUGCGAGCGUUAUCCGGAAUUACUGGGUUUAAAGGGUGCGUAGGCGGCGCAGUAAGUCAGGAGUGAAAGUUUGCGGCUCAACCGUAAAAUUGCUUUUGAUACUGCUGUGCUAGAAUUAGGAUGAGGUUAGCGGAAUGUGGCAUGUAGCGGUGAAAUGCAUAGAUAUGCCAUAGAACACCAAUUGCGAAGGCAGCUGGCUAGACCUAUAUUGACGCUGAGGCACGAAAGCGUGGGGAGCGAACAGG